AGAUUGAACGCUAGCGGGAUGCUUUACACAUGCAAGUCGAACGGCAGCGCGGACUUCGGUCUGGCGGCGAGUGGCGAACGGGUGAGUAAUAUAUCGGAACGUGCCCAGUAGCGGGGGAUAACUACGCGAAAGCGUGGCUAAUACCGCAUACGCCCUACGGGGGAAAGGGGGGAUUCUUCGGAACCUCUCACUAUUGGAGCGGCCGAUAUCAGAUUAGCUAGUUGGUGAGGUAAAGGCUCACCAAGGCGACGAUCUGUAGCUGGUUUGAGAGGACGACCAGCCACACUGGGACUGAGACACGGCCCAGACUCCUACGGGAGCAGCAGUGGGAAUUUGGACAAGUGGGGGAACCUGAUCCAGCCAUCCCGCGUGUGCGAUGAACGGCCUUCGGGUUGUAAGCGUA
Molecule: ribosomal RNA, 403 nt
Filed under: uncultured soil bacterium
Lineage: Bacteria
Description: bacterial SSU rRNA
Rfam family: Bacterial small subunit ribosomal RNA
Source: RNAcentral